UGAGAGGUCAACGGAGAGUUCAAGUGUGUGGCAGCUGACGUGAUUCGAUGUGUCUGCUAUCGUUUAUUGAUCUGUUUCAGCAUGGAGUUAGUUUGUCCAAACGUUCAUGGAAAUAUUGAACAAUUAUGAUGAGAGAUUUAGGGGUAGCUUCCCCAGGAGACGGAAUUAACGGCAGUCCAUCUCGACAUUCAUCCUCGCGACAAGGUUCGAGUGAUCGGUUGUACCCAUCACUUUUUCCGUCAGAUGAUGAAGAUGACAUGUACUACUCAAAAGACAGUGACAGUGCUAGUGGAGCAUCUGUUACAAGUGAAGCACGCUCAACUCCCCCACUCGUCAAUCGCAGACGACACCUUUAUCCCCAAAAUGAGUUUGUAAAUCACCUGAGACCCGAGGAGGUUCGGUGGUUCUACAAACAAGUAGGGGAUAAGGAAUGGAGAUCUUUUAUUGGGUACGAUUCCUUGAGAAUAGAAUGUAGAUUUCGUGCCAUGCAGAACAUAACGGAAGAAGAAAAGACAAUGUUUGAGAAAGAUAUCAUAACUGUCAGAGGCGGUCUAUAUGAAGUCGACGUGGAUAUGAAAAAGUGCACCCCAAUUUAUUGGUCAGACGACGUGGCAGAAAUGAGGCGAGGCUUGUGGUUCUAUGACGAUUACUGGCAGCCAGUUGAGGACGAGUAUGCUCAGGAGAUAGAAUCUGUACAUAUUGCCAAGUAUAUGGGACAUAAACUCAACCAACCUCCACAAUCAAAGGGCAGGAAACAAGUUGUUCAGCGGAAAAACUUUCCAGAAUUCUACAUAGAUUGGAAUUCAGUUGAUGAGAUCUUUCUCUUCAGUGAAUCAGCGUCAUCUAAAAUUUUCAGAUCGGUGAGCAACAAGAUCGGCAUUGCAAAAAGUGGAAGGCGUCUGCGGCGAGGAUAUCGUUAUGAGGCGGUGAUGGACGAUAAACCCCCAGACAUCUCACAUUUGCUGUUUGUCAUCCAUGGUAUUGGGCAGAAAAUGGAGACCGGCAAUAUAAUCAAUCGUUGUCAAGAUCUGAGAAAUCAAGUGAAGAUAUUGAAACAAAAGUUGUUUCCAAACUUUAAUGAACUAAAUCAGAGAGCUGAAUUCUUGCCUGUGGAAUGGAGAACAAGACUAAAACUUGAUGGAGACACAGUGGAUUCCAUUACACCCCACAAGCUUCGAGGGAUCAGGACAGUGUUAAACAGUAGUGCUAUGGACAUUCUGUACUAUACAAGUCCACUGUACAGGUCUGAGAUAACACACAGUCUACAGACCGAGCUCAACAGGCUUCAUGAGAUGUUCUGUAAGAGAAAUCCAUACUUUCUGGCUAAUGGAGGGAAGGUAUCCAUCAUUGCUCAUUCCCUAGGUUCUGUGAUAACGUACGACAUCAUUACUGGCUGGAACCCAAUACAGAUGUAUGACCAGUUUGUUACUUCCGUGAUAGACAAUGAGGAACAAACUGCCGGCUCAUCCGCUGAGAUAAGGGAUGAACUCAAGGAAGCAAAGAGAAGAAUAAACGAUGAAAAAGAUAAUUUGACAUUAGUAAAUGACCUAGAAUCACUGCUGAUGACGGUCCACGAGAAGCAAAAGACAGAGACAACUCUUAACUUCCAGCUGGAGAACCUGUUCUGCCUUGGGUCACCAUUGGCUGUGUUCCUGGCUUUAAGAGGGAUUCGCCCAAAAGGGAAGGGUACAUUGGACCACAUCCUUCCCAGCUCAGCCUGUAAACGCCUCUACAAUAUUUACCAUCCAUACGACCCUGUGGCCUACAGACUGGAACCCCUGAUUCUGAAGCACUACUCCACCAUUGCACCACUUUGUAUACACAAACAUGACGCAGGAAAUAAGCAGCCCUACGGCCAGAUGAAAACAGAAGCUUACGCUGCCUUCCAGGCCUCAAGUGAGAGUGAGCGGGGUGACCAGUCAGAUCGCGAGUUUGUAGAUAGCACAGAGCUUGCCUCAAACAGCAGCCAGGAUACUUCUCCGUCUCGUAACCAAGGUUUUACUUCCUUCUUAACUGGUAUCUUCACAAAGAAGAAUGAGGUCAGUCUUGCUGCGGAACUGAAGAGCAUCAAGAGAUUGGAGAAGGACGCGGCUGCCAUAGAGAAGUCACUGAAUUCUGAGAUGAUGGAGGAGGAUAUAGACCAAACAGGUACAAAGUGAUGUCAUACUUAAUAAAUAGAAUGGAGGAGGAUAUAGACCAAACAGGUACAAAGUGAUGUCAUACUUAAUAAAUAGAAUGGAGGAGGAUAUAGACCAAACAGGUACAGAGUGAUGUCAUACUUAAUAAAUAGAAUGGAGGAGGAUAUAGACCAAACAGGUACAAAGUGAUGUCAUACUUAAUAAAUAGAAUGGAGGAGGAUAUAGACCAAACAGGUACAAAGUGAUGUCAUACUUAAUAAAUAGAAUGGAGGAGGAUAUAGACCAAACAGGUACAAAGUGAUGUCAUACUUAAUAAAUAGAAUGGAGGAGGAUAUAGACCAAACAGGUACAAAGUGAUGUCAUACUUAAUAAAUAGAAUGGAGGAGGAUAUAGACCAAACAGGUACAAAGUGAUGUCAUACUUAAUAAAUAGAAUGGAGGAGGAUAUAGACCAAACAGGUACAAAGUGAUGUCAUACUUAAUAAAUAGAAUGGAGGAGGAUAUAGACCAAACAGGUACAAAGUGAUGUCAUACUUAAUAAAUAGAAUGGAGGAGGAUAUAGACCAAACAGGUACAAAGUGAUGUCAUACUUAAUAAAUAGAAUGGAGGAGGAUAUAGACCAAACAGGUACAAAGUGAUGUCAUACUUAAUAAAUAGAAUGGAGGAGGAUAUAGACCAAACAGGUACAAAGUGAUGUCAUACUUAAUAAAUAGAAUGGAGGAGGAUAUAGACCAAACAGGUACAAAGUGAUGUCAUACUUAAUAAAUAGAAUGGAGGAGGAUAUAGACCAAACAGGUACAAAGUGAUGUCAUACUUAAUAAAUAGAAUGGAGGAGGAUAUAGACCAAACAGGUACAAAGUGAUGUCAUACUUAAUAAAUAGAAUGGAGGAGGAUAUAGACCAAACAGGUACAAAGUGAUGUCAUACUUAAUAAAUAGAAUGGAGGAGGAUAUAGACCAAACAGGUACAAAGUGAUGUCAUACUUAAUAAAUAGAAUGGAGGAGGAUAUAGACCAAACAGGUACAAAGUGAUGUCAUACUUAAUAAAUAGAAUGGAGGAGGAUAUAGACCAAACAGGUACAAAGUGAUGUCAUACUUAAUAAAUAGAAUGGAGGAGGAUAUAGACCAAACAGGUACAAAGUGAUGUCAUACUUAAUAAAUAGAAUGGAGGAGGAUAUAGACCAAACAGGUACAAAGUGAUGUCAUACUUAAUAAAUAGAAUGGAGGAGGAUAUAGACCAAACAGGUACAAAGUGAUGUCAUACUUAAUAAAUAGAAUGGAGGAGGAUAUAGACCAAACAGGUACAAAGUGAUGUCAUACUUAAUAAAUAGAAUGGAGGAGGAUAUAGACCAAACAGGUACAGAGUGAUGUCAUACUUAAUAAAUAGAAUGGAGGAGGAGGAUACAGACCAAACAGGUACAAAGUGAUGUCAUACUUAAUAAAUAGAAUGGAGGAGGAUAUAGACCAAACAGAUUUGGAGUACCGUAUUGAUUUCCAGCUGAGAGAAGGUGGAUUUGUCAGCAGUUAUCUCUCUUUGCUGACCUCUCAUACCU
Molecule: unclassified non-coding RNA, 3688 nt
Filed under: Mizuhopecten yessoensis (Yesso scallop)
Lineage: Eukaryota; Metazoa; Mollusca; Bivalvia; Pectinida; Pectinidae
Description: phospholipase DDHD1-like, transcript variant X1
Source: RNAcentral